Cinara cedri is the source of this 2506-nucleotide non-coding RNA. Lineage: Eukaryota; Metazoa; Arthropoda; Insecta; Hemiptera; Aphididae. The record is from the annotation of a GenBank genome assembly.
GGGUAGCUUACAAACUUAUUACUAAGGAACAUUAAAUAUUAACACUAGAACAGGCAGAUUUAGAAAUUUAGAAAAAGAGGAGUUUUCGUUAGCCAAUCGCAUCACACGAAGAAAGGGAUGGUUUUCACCAAAGUUCGUGGAAUAAAUUGGGACAAAAAAAGAGGUGUGAGAACGCAAAGAAUGAGAGGAAACUCUGAAGUUCCCCUGGGAAAAGGGGAAGGGGAGUCAAUGAAGCUAUCAAGUAGCUUGGAUAAGAAUCGAAUAUUUGCAGACAUUAUUCUAUCCGUUAGUGAAUCCAGAGAAAGGACGCUAAGGACGCUAAGUAAUCGUGCUGUGUAUGUUCGAUUUUAAAAACGUAAGUCACAAAGGACAGAAAACGACGCUGCACUUUCUCAAUAUUACAAGACUCAAAAGCAAUGUACGGAUUCCAAAGCAUUGAAAAGAACUCUAAAAUAGAACGAACGAAGGCGCAGUAAAUAGUUUUUAUAGGAGGGACAAGUUUAAAUUCACUCGAAAUACGUUUUAUGAAGCCUAAAACUUUGAGAGCCUUACAGCACAUGGACUCAAUUCGAAGGGAAUAGUCCAGGGUGGGCGUCAGGGUAAUACCUUAAUAUUUAACAGAAGUAACCGAUAAUAGAGAAGUUCCGUCAAUUUCAAACGAAUACUCAAUGUUAGAGAGCCUUCUACUAAAUGACAUUGAAUUGUAUUUGCUAAUAUUUAUAAUAGACUUGAUGUUAUACAAGAAAGACCGAUAUAAACCAUCGGAGCCUUCAGAUUUGACAUUUACUAGUUUAUCAAGUCCAGUUUCAAUAUCAACGUGGGUAAAAUCGCAGUUGCUUGGUAGAGUAUAGUUGGAAAAAGGCAUAGAUGUGUAAGCGCUAUUAUAAAAACUAAAAUUGAAGACAGAACUGAAAUAAAACGAGAAAAAAUGUGGAGUUGUCUGUAGCAAAAACUAGAUUGCUCGUUUAGAUUUAUAGAACUGGGGAUUUCAGUGCUAAAUUUAAGCUUCCCCACAAAUUUCCAAAAACCACGAAGGUUACACUUCAAUAAUAUUUCAGUUUGAGAAAAAUACUUCUUAUAACACAACUUUGAUUCAAACUUAAAGCGAGCUCGAAGAUUGGAGAACACAUAGUAAUUAUCCUGGCAACGCGUUAAUUUAUACUUAGCAUACGCACGUUUCCUACUAAAUAUAAUAUUUUUGAGGGAUUUAGAGUACCAAAUCGGGAACUUAGAUGGAGUAUAUGUUGUUUGAGGUACACAAUUAAGAACACAGAAAUGCAAUGCAUCAUAAAAUACAUUGGUUGCAGAGUCGAUAUCAAGAGUGUGGAAAGUUUGGGCUCAAUUAAAAGACAACAAAUAAUUACAAAUAUCAGUGUACGAUGCACGGCAGAAUUCGGAAAAAGUGUGAGAAGAAUCAAUAGUCGGGACAUAACCGUUCAUAAGCUAUAAGCUGGGAUGGUAUAAAUCAGUAGGCACAAGCGCGUUAAGAAAUUUAAUUGUGAUUGAUGUAAUAUUAUAUAUUUAAGAAUAAUCAUAACUAAAAUUAAAUAUUAACUUAAUAGUGUACAAGGACGUAUGAAAUAUUUUUUUUUUUGAGGGGGGGCUACAGCCAAUUUUAUGAUAGUUAUAAAUGCGUGUUCUUAUGAAAUGACUUACCUAUGAGACUUUCUUUUCAAGUUGUUUGAAUUGUAUAUCCCAAGUUGAUCAAAAACACCGAAAGUAUCCUUAUAAAAGUACAUCACCCCCUUCUAUCCGUUAACGUUUAUGAUAAAUCUUUAUUAUCUUAUUGGUCAAUUACAACGUACGAAAAUACAAUUUAUAGAAGUAUAUAUACGUUAUAUGUAUAAAAUAUAAAUACUUAUUUAACCGAAAGAAAAUUCAAAAAAUACAUUUUUUGGAGGUCGAUUAUAAUCUAUAUUGUUUAAAUAUAGAUUUCGUGAUUCUAAUAAUAUUUUUAUUCAAACAAAUUGUUUUUAUAGCUCUUAUAAUAGAUUUCUUUUCGUACUUGAUGAACGACAGAUUUAUAUUUCACGAUAAGUCGAUAACAAUAAGAUAAUGGUUGAUAUAUUUAAAUGGGGCGCGUUUUUUUACGCCUAUAAACUAAGAAAAUCGUUAAAAUCAGUAUAUAUAAGUAUUAGGUAUCUCAUUUUUGUAUAAGUUAAUUAAAUUGAUUGGUAUACACGUUAAAUCGUUUUGUACACAUAGUUAGGUAUUGAUAAUAUAAAUACAUUAUAGUUCCGCCAAAUUGUUUACAAAAUAUUAUUUCAUAGGUUUUUUUUCUUUGAUAAUAUUAUAUUUUUUGUGGAAUGGUCCUAAACACCCGUCACUGCAGCUAAGCAUUUUAGUUAAAUAUUGGACACGUUUUUUAUUAUAAAAACAAUAUUGUAAUCUAUUAUUAUUUUAAAUACUCCUGCCUACUCUAAUGAUAUUAUAAAUAUUCCGUUAUUUUUGACUUAAUUCGAUAUUAUUUGUAAAUUGUAAUUAAUAUUUCGAUGUAUCAAAUGUA